RNAcentral lists this ribosomal RNA (251 nucleotides) under uncultured bacterium. Its description in RNAcentral is "partial 16S ribosomal RNA". It matches the Rfam family "Bacterial small subunit ribosomal RNA", at positions 524 to 776 of the family's 1533-position model. The record is from RNAcentral.
UACGGAGGGUGCAAGCGUUAUCCGGAUUCACUGGGUUUAAAGGGUGCGUAGGCGGGCAGGUAAGUCAGUGGUGAAAUCUCCGAGCUUAACUCGGAACUGCCGUUGAUACUACUUGUCUUGAAUAUUGUGGAGGUAAGCGGAAUAUGUCAUGUAGCGGUGAAAUGCUUAGAUAUGACAUAGAACACCAAUUGCGAAGGCAGCUACUACACAAUGAUUGACGCUGAGGCACGAAAGCGUGGGGAUCAAACAGG